GGACUACACGGGUAUCUAAUCCUGUUCGCUCCCCCAGCUUUCGUGCCUGAGCGUCAGAUGUCGGCCAGGGCGCUGCCUUCGCCGUCGGUGUUCCUCCGGAUCUCUACGCAUUUCACCGCUCCACCCGGAAUUCCACGCCCCUCUCCGACCCUCAAGCUCCGCCGUCUGCACGGCACCCUCCCAGUUGAGCCAGGAGAUUUCACCGCACACGCGCGAAGCCGCCUGCGCACCCUUUACGCCCAGUAACUCCGGACAACGCUCGUCUCCUACGUAUUACCGCGGCGGCUGGCAC
Molecule: ribosomal RNA, 292 nt
Filed under: uncultured bacterium
Lineage: Bacteria
Description: partial 16S ribosomal RNA
Source: RNAcentral